Molecule: non-coding RNA, 1216 nt
Organism: Drosophila virilis
Lineage: Eukaryota; Metazoa; Arthropoda; Insecta; Diptera; Drosophilidae
Source: RefSeq, a predicted model, not a curated record
AAAUUAUAAUUUGUUACUAAAUAUUUGUAUAUCUGUUUAGGAAACUUCGAUGUUUUAUUCUUUUUAAAGUGGUCGCGGUCAAAAUUUUCGUUCCUUCUUUUUCAACUUUGUAGUGAGUUGGAUGAACUCUAAAUUAUCAAGUUAAAUAAAAGACUAUUGUACGUUUAAUAAGCUGCACUGUUUUAUUUCGACAGAAUUGAAAAACUACAAGAAUGGCGACUGGACAAUUUUUUAAGCUACAUUAUUUAAAAGUUUCGUAGCAGCCACAUAACUGCAGGGUAGCGAUCGUCUGGAAAUGCAGCAUAUUUUGCGGCAUGAACAUUCCGCACCCUUUCAAAUCCUAUUGCAAAUAGAGGUCCUUGGCAAGGAGAGGGUUAAGGUUUCAUGUCGGGAGUCACUGGAUCUUUUUCGGAGAUGAACCAAACCGAAGAUAGUGUUCUGUGCUACCGGCAGACCGUCUUGGCUGGUUGCCAGACACAGGCAGAUUAUUUGCGGAUAAAGAAAUCGGCAUCCGCCAAGAUAUUCUCCAGUUUUUUCUAAUGGACUCGUCCAUUGGUUUUAUAGCGUCCCCUUAGCGCUGAUGAAAGCAGUACAAACACCUUCUGUACCGAUGCGAGUGACGGAAAGCCCAAGUGUCGCUGCCAAGGAUGCAUCGAUGCGACUCGAUGGACUGCACUGACUAUGUGAGAUUUUCGAGGCGUAGCUCUUCAUUAGCUUCAUGGACUGAUCAAUAAGAAUUUGCCAUUGGGAUUGGGCCGAUUGUAGCCAUUCUGGUCCAUGCCACCACAGAUCAUUGGCCACGAGGUCGCAUGAUGGAACACCUCAGCUAGCCAAAUCAGCGGGGUUGCAUUCGGAACGAACGUGAGACCAUUUGCUGGAGUUGCUGGAUUGUACAAUCUAGGUGACUAUUAGCCAUAAAAUUUGUCCAUUUGGCAGCUUUGCCUUAGGGGAAGAUUGAACCCAUCCGGGUAUGCGUAUCUUAUUGAGUGUUGCAUAACUCUCGAGGAAUGCUCGCCAUCUUUGUAGAAAUUGGCUUGGCAAUGAUUCGUCACAAUCCAGAUCAUGAACAGACAUCAUCUCGCAAAUUUAUUUUAACUAAAUUUCUGAUGACUUAACUGGCUAGUUUGAGGAAUCGUUGCUACAUUUAAGGCUGCACUUUUAUAAAAUUUAGAGUAAACUUAAACAAUAAACAGCACAUAGUACGCACUGAUUAAGA